AUUGAACGCUGGCGGCAGGCCUAACACAUGCAAGUCGAACGAGCGGCGGACGGGUGAGUAAUGUCUGGGGACUGCCCGAUAGAGGGGGAUAACUACUGGAAACGGUGGCUAAUACCGCAUACUAUCGGAUAACCCAUAUGGGAUUAGCUAGUAGGUGGGGUAAAGGCUCACCUAGGCGACGAUCUCUAGCUGGUCUGAGAGGAUGAUCAGGCACACCGGGACGGUGAAACGGCCCAGACUCCAAGGGAGGCAGCAGGGGGGAAUAUUGCACAAUGGGCGCAAGCCUGAUGCAGCCAUGCCGGGUGUAUGAAGAAGGCCUUAGGGUUGUAAAGUACUUUCAGCGGGGAGGCGUUAACCGCAGAAGAAGCCACGGCUAACUCCGGGCCAGCCGCCGCGGUAAUUC
Molecule: ribosomal RNA, 403 nt
Filed under: uncultured bacterium
Lineage: Bacteria
Description: partial 16S ribosomal RNA
Rfam family: Bacterial small subunit ribosomal RNA
Source: RNAcentral